CUACGGGCGGCAGCAGUGGGGAAUAUUGGACAAUGGGCGAAAGCCUGAUCCAGCCAUGCCGCGUGUGUGAAGAAGGCCUUCGGGUUGUAAAGCACUUUCAGUGGGGAAGAAAGCCUUGGGGCUAAUACCCUCGAGGAAGGACAUCACCCACAGAAGAAGCACCGGCUAACUCCGUGCCAGCAGCCGCGGUAAUACGGAGGGUGCGAGCGUUAAUCGGAAUUACUGGGCGUAAAGCGCGCGUAGGCGGUCUGAUAAGCCGGUUGUGAAAGCCCCGGGCUCAACCUGGGAACGGCAUCCGGAACUGUCAGGCUAGAGUGCAGGAGAGGAAGGUAGAAUUCCCGGUGUAGCGGUGAAAUGCGUAGAGAUCGGGAGGAAUACCAGUGGCGAAGGCGGCCUUCUGGACUGACACUGACGCUGAGGUGCGAAAGCGUGGGUAGCAAACAGGAUUAGAUACCCGAGUAGU
This 463-nucleotide ribosomal RNA is filed under the name Vreelandella stevensii. RNAcentral's name for it is "partial 16S ribosomal RNA". It matches the Rfam family "Bacterial small subunit ribosomal RNA", at positions 339 to 794 of the family's 1533-position model. Lineage: Bacteria; Pseudomonadati; Pseudomonadota; Gammaproteobacteria; Oceanospirillales; Halomonadaceae. The record is from RNAcentral.